Molecule: long non-coding RNA, 516 nt
Organism: Dendroctonus ponderosae (mountain pine beetle)
Lineage: Eukaryota; Metazoa; Arthropoda; Insecta; Coleoptera; Curculionidae
Exons: 3
Source: RefSeq, a predicted model, not a curated record
UUGCAGCCGAAUGGUUAGAAAACAACUGACUUGCUUGUUCUGCAAAAUGCAAGAAAUUGAUAACACCUGAACUUGAUACGAUUCAAUUAAGGUAGUUAGCAGUAUGGAUUUUUAUGACAUGCACAAAAACAAUGAAGACGAAUAUGGGAUACAGUAAAAUAUAUAAAUUUAUUAUUUAAAAAGUUAACAAGACUAUUCGGCUUCUAGACAUCCAUGUAAUAAUUAAAAAGGAACGGAAAUGUUGACAAAAAUAUAUGUGACAGGACUUGACGUCACGGGACUGCCGUGUCGUGCGUCGUGGUGGGGAGCCACCAUAUGAUUCUUUCCAAUCAAACUCUUAUGGUCAAGGGACGAUAUCAAAAUCCAUAAGCUGCUCAAGAUCAUGCGCGCAAUUGCGCAAUAAGAUUUUUCAAUAAACCAGAGCCAAGGGCAGAUAUUCGCCACUUUUUCCCGUUACCGCCCAAACUACCCACCAUACAGUAUGAAUCUUUAAAUGGAAAUAAAUUCAGGAAAUUA